This 396-nucleotide ribosomal RNA is filed under the name uncultured bacterium. RNAcentral describes it as "partial 16S ribosomal RNA". It matches the Rfam family "Bacterial small subunit ribosomal RNA", at positions 523 to 918 of the family's 1533-position model. The record is from RNAcentral.
AUACGUAGGGUGCAAGCGUUAAUCGGAAUUACUGGGCGUAAAGCGCGCGUAGGUGGUUCGUUAAGUUGGAUGUGAAAGCCCCGGGCUCAACCUGGGAACUGCAUCCAAAACUGGCGAGCUAGAGUAUAGCAGAGGGUGGUGGAAUUUCCUGUGUAGCGGUGAAAUGCGUAGAUAUAGGAAGGAACACCAGUGGCGAAGGCGCCCCCCUGGGCUAAUACUGACACUGAGGUGCGAAAGCGUGGGGAGAAAACAGGAUUAGAUACCCUGGUAGUCCACGCCGUAAACGAUGUCGACUAGCCGUUGGGAUCCUUGAGAUCUUAGUGGCGCAGCUAACGCAUUAAGUCGACCGCCUGGGGAGUACGGCCGCAAGGUUAAAACUCAAAUGAAUUGACGGGG